Molecule: ribosomal RNA, 254 nt
Filed under: uncultured bacterium
Lineage: Bacteria
Description: partial 16S ribosomal RNA
Rfam family: Bacterial small subunit ribosomal RNA
Source: RNAcentral
UACGGGGGGGGCAAGCGUUGUUCGGAAUUAUUGGGCGUAAAGAGCUCGUAGGCGGUGUGUCACGUCGGCCGUGAAAACCUGCAGCUUAACUGUGGGCGUGCGGUCGAUACGGGCAUCACUGGAGUUCGGCAGGGGAGACUGGAAUUCCUGGUGUAGCGGUGAAAUGCGCAGAUAUCAGGAGGAACACCGGUGGCGAAGGCGGGUCUCUGGGCCGAUACUGACGCUGAGGAGCGAAAGCGUGGGGAGCGAACAGG